Molecule: ribosomal RNA, 367 nt
Filed under: uncultured bacterium
Lineage: Bacteria
Description: bacterial SSU rRNA
Rfam family: Bacterial small subunit ribosomal RNA
Source: RNAcentral
AACGAACGCUGGCGGCAGGCCUAACACAUGCAAGUCGAACGCUCCAGCAAUGGAGAGUGGCAGACGGGUGAGUAACGCGUGGGAACCUUCCCUAUGGUUCGGAAUAGCUCAGGGAAACUUGAGGUAAUACCGGAUAAGCCCUUCGGGGAAGGAUUUAUCGCCAUUGGGUGGGCCCGCGUAGGAUUAGCUAGUUGGUGAGGUAACGGCUCACCAAGGCGACGAUCCUUAGCUGGUCUGAGAGGAUGAUCAGCCACACUGGGACUGAGACACGGCCCAGACUCCUACGGGAGGCAGCAGUGGGGAAUAUUGGACAAUGGGCGCAAGCCUGAUCCAGCCAUGCCGCGUGAGUGAAGAAGGCCUUAGGGUU